AGGAUGAACGCUAGCGGCGUGCCUAACACAUGCAAGUCGAACGUGAAGGGGUACUUGUAUCCCUGAAAGUGGCGGACGGGUGAGUAAGACGUAGGUGACCUGCCUUGGAGUGGGGGAUAACCAUUGGAAACGAUGGCUAAUACCGCAUGACGUUGUUGAGUUGGGAAACUUGACAACCAAAGCUUUGGCGCUUGGAGAGGGGCCUACGGCCGAUUAGCUAGGUUGGUGGGGUAACGGCCUACCGAAGGCGAUGGAAUCGGUAGCUGGUCUGAGAGGACGAUCAGCCACACGGGAACUGAGACACGGUCCCGACUCCGUACGGGGGGCAGCAGUGAGGAAUAUCGGCAAGGUGGGGGACCCUGGACCGAGCGAACGCCGCGUGGAGGAUGGUACGGUUUUCGGAUUUACGUAAACUUCCGUUUUCGGUACGGGGGAAG
Molecule: ribosomal RNA, 437 nt
Filed under: uncultured soil bacterium
Lineage: Bacteria
Description: bacterial SSU rRNA
Rfam family: Bacterial small subunit ribosomal RNA
Source: RNAcentral